RNAcentral lists this ribosomal RNA (300 nucleotides) under uncultured Hydrogenivirga sp. Its description in RNAcentral is "bacterial SSU rRNA". It matches the Rfam family "Bacterial small subunit ribosomal RNA", at positions 496 to 795 of the family's 1533-position model. Lineage: Bacteria; Pseudomonadati; Aquificota; Aquificia; Aquificales; Aquificaceae. The record is from RNAcentral.
UGUAAGCCCGGGGCGGGAGCCGGGGGAAGAAGGAGGGUGCAAAGGUUAUCCGGAUUUAUGGGGUUUAAAGGGUCCGUAGGGGGACUUAUAAGGCAGUGGUGAAAGCCUGUCGCUUAACGAUAGAACUGCCAUUGAUACUGGAAGUCUUGAGUAUAUGUGAGGUAGCUGGAAUAAGUAGUGUAGCGGUGAAAUGCAGAGAUAUUACUUAGAACACCAAUUGCGAAGGCAGGUUACCAAGAUAUAACUGACGCUGAGGGACGAAAGCGUGGGGAGCGAACAGGAUUAGAUACCCUAGUAGUC